ACUCAAAUGAAUAGACGGGGGCCCGCACAAGCGGUGGAGCAUGUGGUUUAAUUCGAUGCAACGCGAAAAACCUUACCUACCCUUGACAUCCUCAGAACUUGUUAGAGAUAACUUGGUGCCUUCGGGAACUGAGAGACAGGUGCUGCAUGGCUGUCGUCAGCUCGUGUCGUGAGAUGUUGGGUUAAGUCCCUUAACGAGCGCAACCCUCGUCCUUAGUUGCCACCCUUCGGGAGCACUCUAAGGAGACUGCCGGUGAUAAACCGGAGGAAGGUGGGGAUGAUGUCAAGUCAUCAUGGCCCUUACGGGUAGGGCUACACACGUGCUACAAUGGGCAGUACAACGGGUCGCCAAGUCGCAAGACGGAGCUAAUCCCAUAAAGCUGCUCUCAGUCCGGAUUGGAGUCUGCAACUCGACUCCAUGAAGUUGGAAUCGCUAGUAAUCGUGAAUCAGCAUGUCACGGUGAAUACGUUCUCGGGCCUUGUACACACCGCCCGU
RNAcentral lists this ribosomal RNA (495 nucleotides) under uncultured bacterium. RNAcentral's name for it is "partial 16S ribosomal RNA". It matches the Rfam family "Bacterial small subunit ribosomal RNA", at positions 899 to 1397 of the family's 1533-position model. The record is from RNAcentral.